UGGGGAAUAUUGCACAAUGGGCGAAAGCCUGAUGCAGCGACGCCGCGUGCGGGAUGAAGGCCUUCGGGUUGUAAACCGCUUUUGAUUGGGAGCAAGCGAGAGUGAGUGUACCUUUCGAAUAAGCACCGGCUAACUACGUGCCAGCAGCCGCGGUAAUACGUAGGGUGCAAGCGUUAUCCGGAAUUAUUGGGCGUAAAGAGCUCGUAGGCGGUUUGUCGCGUCUGGUGUGAAAGUCCAUCGCUUAACGGUGGAUCUGCGCCGGGUACGGGCAGGCUAGAGUGCGACAGGGGAGACUGGAAUUCCCGGUGUAACGGUGGAAUGUGUAGAUAUCGGGAAGAACACCAAUGGCGAAGGCAGGUCUCUGGGUCGUCACUGACGCUGAGGAGCGAAAGCGUGGGGAGCGAACAGGAUUAGAUACCCUGGUAGUCCACGCCGUAAACGGUGGAUGCUGGAUGUGGGGCCCAUUCCACGGGUUCCGUGUCGGAGCUAA
RNAcentral lists this ribosomal RNA (490 nucleotides) under uncultured bacterium. Its description in RNAcentral is "partial 16S ribosomal RNA". It matches the Rfam family "Bacterial small subunit ribosomal RNA", at positions 355 to 855 of the family's 1533-position model. The record is from RNAcentral.